Molecule: ribosomal RNA, 260 nt
Filed under: uncultured bacterium
Lineage: Bacteria
Description: partial 16S ribosomal RNA
Source: RNAcentral
CUGCUGCCUUCCGUAGGAGUUUGGGCCGUGUCUCAGUCCCAAUGUGGCCGUUCACCCUCUCAGGCCGGCUACUGAUCGUCGCUUUGGUAGGCCGUUACCCUGCCAACUGGCUAAUCAGACGCGGGUCCAUCUCACACCGAUAAAUCUUUUCCAACCAGAGCAUGCGCCCCUGUUGGCUUAUGCGGUAUUAGCGGUCGUUUCCAACUGUUAUCCCCCUGUCGUGAGGCAGGUUACCCACGCCGUUACUCACCCGUCCGCCA